RNAcentral lists this long non-coding RNA (239 nucleotides) under Phoenix dactylifera (date palm). RNAcentral's name for it is "long non-coding RNA (PDAC_LNC013289)". The record is from RNAcentral. Lineage: Eukaryota; Viridiplantae; Streptophyta; Magnoliopsida; Arecales; Arecaceae.
UUAAAAUAGGGGAAUUGGAUCAUGUGGAAAAAGAGUUGGAACGAGUGGGAAGAAAUUUAGGUGAACUUGUGAAGAGUCAGGAAUUAAUGGGAAGCACUGGGUUUUGGAGAAGAGUUCUUGAAGUCGACUCUGGAGGAUGUAAAAUUGUGAAAUGAUGCAGUGUCAGUUUAGGCUUUACCUAAUUAAGCUUGACUCGACCUGCAUACAUUAAGCUUAAUCAGUAAAUAAAUAAGUAAAAC